CUACGGGUCGCACCAGCAGCGAAUUAUUUGCAAUGCACGAAAGUGUGACAAUGCGAACCAAAGUGCCUAGCAUUUAUGUUAGGCUUUUCCUCGCUCUAAAAAGGCGGGGGAAUAAGGACUGGGCAAGACCGGUGCCAGCCGCCGCGGUAAUACCGGCAGUUCAAGUCGCAUCCACUAUUAUUGGGUCUAAAACAUCCGUAGCUCGUUACUUAAGUCCCUUGUGAAAUCCUAUGUCUCAAGCAUAGGGCUUGCGGAGGAUACUGAGUGACUAGAGAUCGGUAGGCGUAAGGAGUACGUUGGAGGUAGUGGUUAAAUACGUUAAUCUUCAACGGACUAACGAUUUAGCGAAGGCACCUUACGAGGACGAAUCUGACAGUGAGGGAUGAAGGCCAGGGGCGCAAAACGGAUUAGAUACCCUUGUAGUC
Molecule: ribosomal RNA, 425 nt
Filed under: uncultured archaeon
Lineage: Archaea
Description: partial 16S ribosomal RNA
Rfam family: Archaeal small subunit ribosomal RNA
Source: RNAcentral